UCGUCAAAUACUGCAUCGACUGAUCACCGAUGGCUCAACGGUAAGCGACGGUACAACUGAACACAGACAGCUGCCUACGAGGUUUCCUC
Peptostreptococcaceae bacterium is the source of this 89-nucleotide non-coding RNA. The record is from Rfam. NCBI's taxonomy places the organism in Bacteria, Bacillati, Bacillota, Clostridia, Peptostreptococcales, Peptostreptococcaceae.